This 1098-nucleotide long non-coding RNA is filed under the name Oryctolagus cuniculus (rabbit). RNAcentral describes it as "lncRNA (ENSOCUG00000030441.1)". Lineage: Eukaryota; Metazoa; Chordata; Mammalia; Lagomorpha; Leporidae. The record is from RNAcentral.
CGCUGGUUCAAGUCCCAGCUGUUUCACUUCUCAUCCAGCUCCCUGCUAAUGGCCUGGGGGAAGCAGUGGAAGAUGGUCCAAGUGCUGGGGCCCCUGCCACCCACAUGGGAGACUCUCUUCUGGAAGAAGCUCAUGGCUCAGGACUUGUCCAGCCCUUGCUGUUGUGACCAUCUGGGGAGUGAACCAGCAGAUGGAAGGUCUCUCUCUGUCUCUCCCUUUCUCUCUGUAACUCUGACUUUCAAACAAAUAAAUAAAUAUUUUUUAAGAAAAAGAAUGAAAUAUAUUUUUGAAUGAAUUUAACACAUGGAGAUAGUUUUCAUUCACACAUUGAAAUAUGUUGUCUCAAAACUUUCUAGGAACUCUUAUUUCAAAAUAUGUUCUGAACCCAUCAAAAUAAGAUUUUUCACCUUUGAAGAGACAUUGAUACAACCAUGUGGUAUCUGAGACAACUGUACAAUUCUAUACUUACAGAGUAAAAGCAUCCACACAAAACACAUAAAUGAAGGAGUAUCUGUUUUAUGCACAGAAAAGGUGGAAGUUUGGAUUUGGUUCAUGGUCCUUGGCUUUGUACCACCGAUUGAACCCUUCUCUACAUAACAACAUAACUAAUUGCACUAUUAUUGCCAGAGGGCUGUGUAGAGAUCUAUGGAAUGUGGUACCUGCUUAUAAUUUUGAAGUUUACACACUUUUAAUAUGGAGGAAACCCUUACUUGAUCUUUUCACCUUUGAUGUCUUGGAUAUAAAGUUCUGACAUGAUCAUUUCUUACACAUACUUCUUAAGUGGAUUUUUCACUAAUAACAAAAGAAAGUUAAAAGUCUGGCCUCACAGCCUACAUACUUUUUUUUUUUUUAAUAUUUACCUCGAAUAGCUAAAGCAAUCUUGUACAUCAAAAACAAAGCUGGAGGCAUCACAAUACCAGAUUUUAGGACAUACUACAGGGCAGUUGUAAUCAAAACAGCAUGGUACUGGUACAGAAACAGAUGGAUAGACCAAUGGAACAGAAUACAAACACCAGAAAUCAACCCAAACAUCUACAGCCAACUUAUAUUUGAUCAAGGAUCUAAAACCAAUUCCUGGAGCAAGGACAGUCAAUUCAA